This 851-nucleotide ribosomal RNA is filed under the name Hebeloma pusillum. Its description in RNAcentral is "LSU rRNA". It matches the Rfam family "Eukaryotic large subunit ribosomal RNA", at positions 46 to 882 of the family's 3401-position model. The record is from RNAcentral. Lineage: Eukaryota; Fungi; Basidiomycota; Agaricomycetes; Agaricales; Hymenogastraceae.
AUAAGCGGAGGAAAAGAAACUAACAAGGAUUCCCCUAGUAACUGCGAGUGAAGCGGGAAAAGCUCAAAUUUAAAAUCUGGCGGUCUCUGGCCGUCCGAGUUGUAAUCUAGAGAAGUGUUAUCCGCGCUGGACCGUGUACAAGUCUCCUGGAAUGGAGCGUCAUAGAGGGUGAGAAUCCCGUCUUUGACACGGACUGCCAGGGCUUUGUGAUGCGCUCUCAAAGAGUCGAGUUGUUUGGGAAUGCAGCUCAAAAUGGGUGGUAAAUUCCAUCUAAAGCUAAAUAUUGGCGAGAGACCGAUAGCGAACAAGUACCGUGAGGGAAAGAUGAAAAGAACUUUGGAAAGAGAGUUAAACAGUACGUGAAAUUGCUGAAAGGGAAACGCUUGAAGUCAGUCGCGUUGGCCGGGGAUCAACCUUGCUUUUGCUGGGCGUACUUUCCGGUUGACGGGUCAGCAUCAAUUUUGACCGUUGGAUAAAGUCCAGGGGAAUGUGGCAUCUUCGGAUGUGUUAUAGCCCUUGGUCGCAUACAACGGUUGGGAUUGAGGAACUCAGCACGCCGCAAGGCCGGGUACUUGUACCACGUUCGUGCUUAGGAUGCUGGCAUAAUGGCUUUAAUCGACCCGUCUUGAAACACGGACCAAGGAGUCUAACAUGCCUGCGAGUGUUUGGGUGGAAAACUCGGACGCGUAAUGAAAGUGAAAGUUGAGAUCCCUGUCGUGGGGAGCAUCGACGCCCGGACCAGACCUUUUGUGACGGAUCCGCGGUAGAGCAUGUAUGUUGGGACCCGAAAGAUGGUGAACUAUGCCUGAAUAGGGUGAAGCCAGAGGAAACUCUGGUGGAGGCUCGUAGCG